RNAcentral lists this ribosomal RNA (1346 nucleotides) under Arthrobacter sp. PF2M6. RNAcentral describes it as "bacterial SSU rRNA". It matches the Rfam family "Bacterial small subunit ribosomal RNA", at positions 93 to 1446 of the family's 1533-position model. The record is from RNAcentral. Lineage: Bacteria; Bacillati; Actinomycetota; Actinomycetes; Micrococcales; Micrococcaceae.
UAUUGGCGAACGGGUGAGUAACACGUGAGUAACCUGCCCUUAACUCUGGGAUAAGCCUGGGAAACUGGGUCUAAUACCGGAUAUGACUCCUCAUCGCAUGGUGGGGGGUGGAAAGCUUUAUUGUGGUUUUGGAUGGACUCGCGGCCUAUCAGCUUGUUGGUGAGGUAAUGGCUCACCAAGGCGACGACGGGUAGCCGGCCUGAGAGGGUGACCGGCCACACUGGGACUGAGACACGGCCCAGACUCCUACGGGAGGCAGCAGUGGGGAAUAUUGCACAAUGGGCGAAAGCCUGAUGCAGCGACGCCGCGUGAGGGAUGACGGCCUUCGGGUUGUAAACCUCUUUCAGUAGGGAAGAAGCGAAAGUGACGGUACCUGCAGAAGAAGCGCCGGCUAACUACGUGCCAGCAGCCGCGGUAAUACGUAGGGCGCAAGCGUUAUCCGGAAUUAUUGGGCGUAAAGAGCUCGUAGGCGGUUUGUCGCGUCUGCCGUGAAAGUCCGGGGCUCAACUCCGGAUCUGCGGUGGGUACGGGCAGACUAGAGUGAUGUAGGGGAGACUGGAAUUCCUGGUGUAGCGGUGAAAUGCGCAGAUAUCAGGAGGAACACCGAUGGCGAAGGCAGGUCUCUGCGCAUUAACUGACGCUGAGGAGCGAAAGCAUGGGGAGCGAACAGGAUUAGAUACCCUGGUAGUCCAUGCCGUAAACGUUGGGCACUAGGUGUGGGGGACAUUCCACGUUUUCCGCGCCGUAGCUAACGCAUUAAGUGCCCCGCCUGGGGGAGUACGGCCGCAAGGCUAAAACUCAAAGGAAUUGACGGGGGCCCGCACAAGCGGCGGAGCAUGCGGAUUAAUUCGAUGCAACGCGAAGAACCUUACCAAGGCUUGACAUGAACCGGAAAUACCUGGAAACAGGUGCCCCGCUUGCGGUCGGUUUACAGGUGGUGCAUGGUUGUCGUCAGCUCGUGUCGUGAGAUGUUGGGUUAAGUCCCGCAACGAGCGCAACCCUCGUUCUAUGUUGCCAGCGCGUUAUGGCGGGGACUCAUAGGAGACUGCCGGGGUCAACUCGGAGGAAGGUGGGGACGACGUCAAAUCAUCAUGCCCCUUAUGUCUUGGGCUUCACGCAUGCUACAAUGGCCGGUACAAAGGGUUGCGAUACUGUGAGGUGGAGCUAAUCCCAAAAAGCCGGUCUCAGUUCGGAUUGGGGUCUGCAACUCGACCCCAUGAAGUCGGAGUCGCUAGUAAUCGCAGAUCAGCAACGCUGCGGUGAAUACGUUCCCGGGCCUUGUACACACCGCCCGUCAAGUCACGAAAGUUGGUAACACCCGAAGCCGGUGGCCUAACCCCUUGUGG